GAUAUGUAAUAAUGAAUUUGUUAAAGCAUUUAAUGAUAUUUAAUUGUAGAGAAUACAUAAUGCUUGCCAGUCAGUUAUAAAAUGAAACUGAAAGUAGUCUGAUAACAAAUGAAAAUUGAAAAUAUACAAGACUGGUCCCCUGUUCUACAUAAGUAUCUUAUAAAACAGUCAUACAAAUUGGAAUAUUUGAAAAGUUAAAGAAUAUUGAAAAUUGAAAGUAUAAAAUAAUGGUCCCUUCUACAUACGUAUCUUAUAAAUACAAAUAGGAAUAAUUGGUAAGUAAAAGAAUAUAAAAAAUAUCUUCAGUUAUACCAAUAGGAAUACUUUGAGGUUUAAAGACACUUACAUUCAUAAUUAAAUUACUUUCACUAAUUCAACCUUUAUUUCAAUUGAUUCAAUUCAAUUAAGGUAAAAGUCAGUGCAAGAAAAAAAUUGAAUAUCUUCAGGUAAUGAUUCAUAGCUGUUUACAGUUUUGUCAAAAUUAGUCUAACCAGUUGGAAAGAGUUGUGCUUACAACAGACUCAUGUGACAUAUUGCAACAUUGAAUUGAGAGCUCCAAUGAUCUCCCUUAUUAAGAACUUCAAUGAUCUCCCCUUAUUAGAACUUCAAUAUCUCCUCUUAUUAAGAACUUCAAUUAUCUCCCCUUAUAGAGAACUUCAAUUAUCUCCCCUUCUUGAGAACUUCAUUUAUGUCCCCUUAUUGAUAACUUCAACAAUCUCCCCUUUUUUGAGAACUUCAGUUAUCUCCCCUAAUUGAGAACUUCAAUUAUCUCCCCUUAUUAAGAACUUCAAUGAUCUCCCCUUAUUUAGAACUUCAAUUAUCUCCCCUUAUUAAGAACUUCAAUUAUCUCCCCUUAUAGAGAACUUCAAUUAUCUCCCCUUCUUGAGAACUUCAUUUAUGUCCCCUUAUUGAUGACUUCAACGAUCUCCCCUUUUUUGAGAACUUCAGUUAUCUCCCCUUAUUGAGAACUUCAGUUAUCUCCCCUUAUUGAGAACUUCAAUUAUCUCCCCUUAUUAAGAACUUCAAUGAUCUCUCCUUAUUUAGAACUUCAAUUAUCUCCCCUUACUAAGAACUUCAAUUAUCUCGCCUUCUUGAGAACUUCAUUUAUGUCCCCCCUUAUUGAUGACUUCAAUGAUCUCCCCUUUUUGAGAACUUCAGUUAUCUCCCCUUAUUGAGAACUUCAGUUAUCUCCCCUUAUUGAGAACUUCAAUUAUCUCCCCUUAUUAAGAACUUUAAUUAUCUCACUUUAAUGUCUAGGACAGGGUUGUAUUCCUAUAAGCACAUCAUGAGGUAGUGUUCUACAAUUGUGAUGGUAACUUUUCAUUGUUAUCUGUCUAGAUUUGCUAAACACCAGAUAUUCUGUGAAAUUGUUCCACAUAUUUUGGUUUUGUUUUACAAACACUUAAGCAGGAGUUGAACGUACAAGUCUUAUGGACAAAGAGGCAGAGUAUUGUAUUUAUUGCAAUAUAUCUUUUGGUCACUAAAAAGGCUUUGUUAAAUUAUCCCAUUAUUCAAUUAAAACAUCUAAUGAAUGUAUUGAAGUUGGAAAUAUAUGAAGACCAGGGCGGAUCCAGCCAUUUUGAAAAGGGGGGGUCCCCAAUCUAGGAUAAAGGGGGGGGUCCAACUAUAUGUCCCCAUUCAAAUGCAUUGAUCCGCCAAAAAAACGAGGGGUUCCAACCCCCGGAAACCUCCCUCUGGAUCCGCCACUGAAGACAAACCCACUCAUGCAAACCAAAUUAAAGGUAGAGAUUGGAAUAAUAAGAGACUCAAUUUGGUUCAAGUUCUUUGCAAAGGGAAAACACUCAUUUCGAAAAAUCUUAAAUCUCAUACUUGGGAAGCCUUCUUUAUUUACUUUCCCUAGUAAUAUGCUGUUUUUAAUAAUACAAAAUAAAUAUAAAAUUUGUUCAUCUAGGCAUAUUUAAACAUUAUUACACAAAAUAAAAGGCACUUCAUUAUAGUAAUGCACAAAUAAUGUUUCACUCUGUUGCAUAUUAAUUCACUUUUCAAGUGAGCAUUAAAAUGAAGUAAAAAUCACAUGUUCAAAUACCUUGUUUUCUAUACACCAUUCAGUAGGCUGCUAUGAAGUGAAAAGAAACAUAAAAAUUUGUCAACAAGAAAUAGUAUCACAGUGUUAUACAGAAUAAAAAGGCACUUCAAAUAGUAAGGCAUAACAAUUUGUAAAAUUCUUAUUUGUACCUCAAAAAUGGAAGAUAGUACAAAAUGUAUAAUAAACAUAUUUUAUUUUUAAAAUAAUGCAAAAAGACAAAUUUUACUUGAAUAAAAUGCAAGAAGACAUAUUAAUAAAU
This 2306-nucleotide long non-coding RNA is filed under the name Mytilus galloprovincialis (Mediterranean mussel). Lineage: Eukaryota; Metazoa; Mollusca; Bivalvia; Mytilida; Mytilidae. The record is from RNAcentral.